This 394-nucleotide long non-coding RNA is filed under the name Musa acuminata (dwarf banana). RNAcentral describes it as "long non-coding RNA (MACU_LNC003654)". The record is from RNAcentral. Lineage: Eukaryota; Viridiplantae; Streptophyta; Magnoliopsida; Zingiberales; Musaceae.
UUUGUAUGUUAAAAAUUUUCUCAGCUGAAUCACAUGAACUUGCCUCAUUGGUUCUUUCUUGCAGGUGAUGUUGCUGCCACUUCCAGUCGCUCCCUUGACAUAACCGAGGACAAACUUCUGAGAAAUUCUUUCAGUUAUAUUAUGGUUAAUCAUGCUCAAAGCUCAGAUUGUGAAUGACAAGGUUAAUCAACAAAUGCCAAUUCUCAAUGGUUUCUGAUGCUAAGGGACAAAGACCAACAAGGAGUUCUAGAUCAGUUGUCUUGACAGAUUUGUUGACUGUUGACAACUCUAAGUGAAAAAUUCCACAAGUCUGUUUAAACAUCAACAUGUCAUGGCAUAAAGAUCAAGCAUAAUGAACAUCGUUUACAAUUUAAGUUUCUUUGACAAAUGAGAU